Molecule: non-coding RNA, 103 nt
Organism: Acanthosepion pharaonis
Lineage: Eukaryota; Metazoa; Mollusca; Cephalopoda; Sepiida; Sepiidae
Source: the annotation of a GenBank genome assembly
CCAUGUUGAAACACCGGUUCUUGUCCAAUCACCAAAGUUAAGCAACAUUGAGCCUGGUCAGUAUCUAGAUGGGUAAGCACUUGAGAAUACCAGAUGCUGUAAU